GAACGCAUAUUGCGCUCUUUGGUAUUCCGAAGAGCAUGCUUGUUUGAGUAUCAGUAAUAAACCUCAACCAAAAUAUUCUUUUUUGGAUGGAUUUGAGCAAUCUCAAUAUCAUUUUUUUUUUAAAAAUGAGUGCGAGUUGCUUUAAAUUUUGGUUUAGUCAAUUUGAAAUACAAUGGACUUGCUAAACAUAUCUUAAUUAAUCUUUCUAAGAUUAUUAUUUCUGUGAAGCUUGAUUAUUGGUUAAUAUUUCUUAUCAGGCUAACUGAUGCAGUAACUACGAAAGAUGUCAAAAGUCUUUUGUUAACUCGAUCUCAAAUCAAGUAAGACUACCCGCUGAACUUAAG
RNAcentral lists this unclassified non-coding RNA (344 nucleotides) under uncultured fungus. RNAcentral's name for it is "sequence contains 5.8S rRNA gene". The stretch from base 1 to 53 matches the Rfam family "5.8S ribosomal RNA", at positions 102 to 154 of the family's 154-position model. The record is from RNAcentral. Lineage: Eukaryota; Fungi.